This 504-nucleotide ribosomal RNA is filed under the name uncultured bacterium. RNAcentral's name for it is "partial 16S ribosomal RNA". It matches the Rfam family "Bacterial small subunit ribosomal RNA", at positions 30 to 523 of the family's 1533-position model. The record is from RNAcentral.
AUUGAACGCUGGCGGCAGGCCUAACACAUGCAAGUCGAACGGUAGCACAGAGAGCUUGCUCUCGGGUGACGAGUGGCGGACGGGUGAGUAACGUCUGGGAAACUGCCCGAUGGAGGGGGAUAACUACUGGAAACGGUAGCUAAUACCGCAUAACGUCGCAAGACCAAAGUGGGGGACCUUCGGGCCUCACACCAUCGGAUGUGCCCAGAUGGGAUUAGCUAGUAGGUGGGGUAAUGGCUCACCUAGGCGACGAUCCCUAGCUGGUCUGAGAGGAUGACCAGCAACACUGGAACUGAGAAACGGUCCAGACUCCUACGGGAGGAAGCAGUGGGGAAUAUUGCACAAUGGGCGCAAGCCUGAUGCAGCCAUGCCGCGUGUACGAAGAAGGCCUUCGGGUUGUAAAGUACUUUCAGCGGGGAGGAAGGCGGUGAAGUUAAUAACUUCACCGAUUGACGUUACCCGCAGAAGAAGCACCGGCUAACUCCGUGCCAGCAGCCGCCGUAA